UGAAUGCAGAAUGUUAUCCAGAAGCCACGUGCCGUUAAAAUGUAGAUUGCUGCUACAAACUGCAGUAGCAGUAAAAUCGUAAAAGCGAAAUGUUGUCUAAUAAAAACUUGCUUCUUCUCCUGGUAGCUGUCCUUGGUUCCUCAUGGAUUUUCAAUGGCAAUUCCAAUGGGUAGCUUAUGCUUACUGGUCAUCAUCCAAAAAGAAUUUCAAGUCGAAGUACCAUUAACAAUUCAAUGCCCUGAUAAGAACCAGGUGAUUUAUAAAAUAGAACUAGAGUUUGAAGAAUUCACGCCGCUGACUGUUGGCAUCUGGAUCAGAGAAACAUAUUACUGGUUACCUAUCGCACCUUAUUACAUAAUUGAAAUAAAAAACGGCACGGAUCUAGCGACUUAUCACAUUCCCAAUGUAUUUUACAGAGGAG
This 421-nucleotide long non-coding RNA is filed under the name Cotesia glomerata. RNAcentral's name for it is "uncharacterized LOC123263269". Lineage: Eukaryota; Metazoa; Arthropoda; Insecta; Hymenoptera; Braconidae. The record is from RNAcentral.